RNAcentral lists this ribosomal RNA (253 nucleotides) under uncultured bacterium. RNAcentral's name for it is "partial 16S ribosomal RNA". It matches the Rfam family "Bacterial small subunit ribosomal RNA", at positions 524 to 776 of the family's 1533-position model. The record is from RNAcentral.
UACAGAGGGUGCGAGCGUUGUUCGGAAUUAUUGGGCGUAAAGGGCGCGUAGGCGGUGCGGUAAGUCACCUGUGAAAUCUCCUGGCUCAACUGGGAGCUUGCAGGCGAAACUGCCGUGCUGGAGUGUGGGAGAGGUGCGUGGAAUUCCUGGUGUAGCGGUGAAAUGCGUAGAUAUCAGGAGGAACACCUGUGGCGAAGGCGGCCCCCUGGACCGGUACUGACGCUGAGGCGCGAAAGCGUGGGUAGCAAACGGG